UUAAAUGAUAGAGGCGCGGUAUUUAUCAGUACAUAAUAACUUAAGCAGGGCAGCUGUUAUUAUUGAAAGGAAAUAUCGCCGAAGUUCAGGCUUUGCACCAGGGUCUGUUCUGGGGUAUCGUAGAAUAUGCGAUACACUGUCACAUCGAGUGGAGCGCUAUCUUGGUU
The sequence is a regulatory RNA element, 167 nucleotides long. It matches the Rfam family "Lysine riboswitch aptamer". From Rfam's summary of the family: Riboswitches are metabolite binding domains within certain messenger RNAs that serve as precision sensors for their corresponding targets. Allosteric rearrangement of mRNA structure is mediated by ligand binding, and this results in modulation of gene expression. This family includes riboswitches that sense lysine in a number of genes involved in lysine metabolism, including lysC. The record is from Rfam.